UAACCUCUGGCGAGAUCCGCGUAUGUUG
Flavobacterium frigoris is the source of this 28-nucleotide non-coding RNA. The record is from Rfam. NCBI's taxonomy places the organism in Bacteria, Pseudomonadati, Bacteroidota, Flavobacteriia, Flavobacteriales, Flavobacteriaceae.